AUCUUCUUUAUAAUGAUAUCUUUUGAAUGAAUUUCAGUUGAAGUUGAUAUCUCGAUCCGUUCUUUAGAUAUCGAAAACGAAAAAAAUGCUGACAUAUCUACAAUGUACAUACAUACGUAUAUAUGUACGUGCAAGUGGAAGUUUGGUAACAUUUCGUGCGACCAGAGUGAAAGUUUGGUGACUAUUACCAAACUUCCCUACAACGAUUAUGGAAGUUUCGUGACGGUCACCGAACAUCCAAAAUAAUUUUAAAAACAAAAAAAAAAAAAAACAAGUAACAGGAAAACACGACAAAUGUCGAAUAUACAGUUAAACACCAUAUAAUAAUCUAAGUUCUGUUUUUCAAGAAUCUAGGGGAAGCAGAAUAACAGAGUAAAUAUCGAAAUUUAUUGCAAAAAAUAGGUCUUUCACAAAACCUCGGUGACUGUCACCGAUCUUUCAAAAUGACUUCGAAUUCAUUGAAUUUUUAUAAAUCUAACAUCUAGAAAAAUUAGAAUGAACCAGUUAUAUAACUUAGGAUUCAAAAAUUGAAUUUAAACACACUCAAUCCUGAAUCAUGAGUUCCUAAGGAUUAAUAGUAUCGAUAACAGAUAUUUAACAUCAUAAAUAGUAGGGAUAGAGCUGAUUGCUGACUAUCGCCAACUAUUCACAAAAUUUAAAAAAAAAUUACUAAAUAUUAAUUCGGAGUCGAUUUAAAAAAAAUUACAGUAUUUAUCUGUCUAUUCAAAAUAAUUAUCAGAAAAUUUUUGAGUUUUUAAAGAAACCAUCAAUAGAGUACUCAUUAUGCAUUCUUGCAACAUAACUUUUUCUAAGAAGGAAAGCAUCAUUAAAAAUUAUUUAUAAUCGAGAAAAGCUGAAACAUGCCAAUAUACUAUUUUACUUUAAUUUUAUUACGUUAAGGUUACAUGAUUUUCGGGCGAUCAUUAGCAGAAUGUUUACAUCAACAUGUUUUAUAUGUAACGCACUACUUUCGGUAGCUGAUAUCGGUUCACUUGAUCAGUUUUGCAAAAAAUUUUUGAAGAAUACUUAUAAGCUGUCGAUCAAAAACUUUGAAAUCGUUGAUAUAACAUGUCAAUUAUCUGUGCAAAAUUACAAACUGUAAAACAAAAUAUCAAUAAUAUUAUAAUUCACUUUUUACUUUUAUAUUAUAUAUUAGCAAAUCCCCGCGACUUCGACUGUGAAUAGACCAAUUACAGAAAGCUAUUGCUGUGUGAUAGGAUUCAUAAAAAAGUAAUAUAUUCGCAAAUAAUAUAUUCAUACAAAAAAGUAAUAUUAUGGUCACUGGAGCAGUUUAAGCUCGCUCUCCUCGAAUACAACGAGCAAGUUGAAUGUCUUUGGGCAUGAUGGUCACCUGUUUUGCGUGAAUGGCGCACAAGUUGGUAUCUUCAAAAAGACCAACGAGGUAUGCCUCGCUGACUUUUUAAAGAGCUAUCACAGCUGAGCUCUGGAAUCUCAAGUGUUUUGAAGUCCUGAGUGAUGUCGCGACCAAGCCGUUGGAAUGGCAAUUUACAGAUGAGUAACUCAGUACUUUUCUGAUAACGACGAAUUUCUUGAAAUGCAACAGUUCCAGGCCAGUAGCGAUGUAGUUUCUUAAUUCUUCCAGUUGCAGGAGCACACAGGGAAUGAGAUUGUUUCAGUAAAUCACUUAUGCGUUGGAAGAGCUCAAAUACAUCGAAUGGAUUCCGUUUUUCAUUGUUUACAACAAGUUUAACUAUUAUAAACAAUUCACAUAACAAAAAGUAGUCUAUAAUAUUUCCAACAACCCCCUUCAAACGGUUGCAAAAUUUGGUUGCAAUCGAAUUAGCCGUUUUGGAGAUUACCCCGAACAAAGAGACUAACACCAGAAAUUUAUACAGUAGUAUAGAUAUAGAUUACUUCUUUGGAGUAAUAGUAUGUUACGAAACUUUCUUUUUAUUAUGAUGCUUUUCUUUAGGCUUUUAGGAAAUUUUCAUCGAUUGGCAUAGUUUUUAUUUUUGAUAUCCUACGCAGACAUUGUUGCAGGUAAAAGCUAGUUCAUCAUAAACAGUAGGGUUAACAACCAAUUAGGUCACCAUUAAUUCAGUAAACAAUUUGCACUGGAAAACGAACAACUUACAUGUAUGAGUAAAGUAAUUUAUUUUCAUUACGAAUUUAAUCGAGAAAUCAAUGAAAGUAUCACAUUAAAUAAUUGAUGUCAGUCACCGAACUUCCAGAAUAGUUACAAAGUUUGUUCAACGAAUUUAUUUGAAAUUGUUGAUGAAAAAUAAGAGAAUAAAAAAGAGCAGUCGAUAAUUGUUAACAAAUUAUAAAUAAGAUCUUAAAAAUUGACUUUACAUCGUCGAUAUAUUGAAUGAGAACAAAUUUUGAAACCCUAUCCUUACGCCUCCUCCAAUCCUCAAACCUAAAUUUAUUCCUUCCUAAUUUUGGGUCCACCCCUACUCCCAACUUGAGACAACAUCCUUGCGGCAGACACCCAGCUUCCUACACUCGGAUCAGUUACCCACUCUCAAAAAGAUAGUCUUUGGCUAACAUUCAUAACCAGCAGAACAAUUUCAACCUCUUUUCGUAUGUUUUCUAUAUAAAUAUCAAUAAAGGAUUUUCUUACGAAACAAUUGUCUCGUCAUUGAGGUACACAACACAAUUGGCGACAAGGAUUCGGGACGUCAACGCAUUAAAGUACAGUGUUUGCAAAGAAUUAGAGACUCUUUAAUGUGCAAAAAAAGUGUCAAUUUUUAUUGUUUAUCGAUAACGACCCACUAAGACGCACGACGACCUGAAUGAAAAUUGGAAUUCCACAUCAAUCAGUGAGUGCAGUAACCCUAAGAUAGCCAGUUGAGCUGUGAUCCAGAAUUGGCUGACUUCUAAAACUAGCAAUUUCAGCACUAAUAACAUCGUAGCAGAUCGAUUUGUAAAAUCUGUUCAAGAGAUAUUAUCGAUAAAAAUAUAUUUCACAUCCAAUUGGAAUGUCGCUAGCUGCAGAUAUUUCUACUGCACUGCAUCUAUUGGUCCAUAUUCAUAACAGAGUCAAGGACAACGAUAAAUUGGAAUUUCAUUUGCACACGAGUGAUGAUGUCAGUUUAUUGAUUUCAUUGCUGGAAGAACCACUUUUUAGGAGCAUAGUGGUAAUUCAAGAUUCAUUAAUUGAUUUAAAUACUCAAUUGAUUCAACACCCAUCGAUCUUACCUGGUGAUUUUGAUAUAAAUUUAAUUGGACAAUUAGAAUUAUCGAUACCAACUCCACCAAUAAAAUCGUCAGAGAUCAAUGCAUAUCAGGAUUUAUAUAAUGACAAUAGUGAAUUAGAUGAUCAACGAGUUCCUGUAGCAUCAGUCAUCCAUACAAGUAGUGAAGAUAAUAGUACACAGUUGAAUACAUCCGGAUUGCUUUCUGAGGGAUUGAAUGUUCUACCAAUUACAACACCAACAUAUGUCAAAGAAUUUCAGAAAGUGAUUGAAACAGCAGCUAACGGACGUGAAAUACUAACUGUACAGCUUUGCAAGCCGGAAGGGAACAAUCUUGGCUUCAGCGUAGUUGGACUGAGAAGUAAAGAAAAAGGUGAUUUGGGUAUUUUUCUGCAAGAAAUUCAACCCAACAGCAUAGCAGGACGGGAUGGUCGUUUAGUAGAGGGAGAUCAGAUACUAGCUAUUGAUGGACAACCAUUAGAUUCAAAUAUAUCUCAUGAACAAGCAAUAUCUAUUCUUCAACAAGCACGUGGAGUUGUUGAAAUUGUUAUUGCACGGAAUAAUCAAGAUUACACUGGUCAAUCUGACGAUACAUCUGAAGCUUCAACAAUUUUAGCUUCUGAUCCAUGCAUUCUUCUGGAAUCUAAUGAAACUAAAACGGCCCUAGAGCUUGAAUCUACUGUAAGAUCAUAUUUGCAUGAUUUAUCAACAACAAAGGAUACACAUUCAACUCCUCAUUAUUCCCUGCUUCCAUUAUCUGAGGCUUCAGGAGUUGAGCGAUCACCUUCCGCAUUAAGUGAAACUUCAAGAAGUAGUGUUGACAUGGUGCUUAACACUGAAUGGGCGCAAGUAGAGGUGAUUGACUUGAUCAAUGAUGGAAGCGGACUUGGAUUUGGUAUAAUUGGUGGAAAAAGUACUGGUGUAGUCGUGAAAACUAUCCUUCCGGGAGGUGUUGCUGAUCGUGAUAAUCGAUUACAGAGUGGUGAUCAUAUACUUCAAAUUGGUGAUGUAAACUUACGUGGAAUGGGGAGUGAACAAGUCGCAGCAGUAUUAAGGCAAUCAGGAACGCAUGUGAGAUUAGUAGUCGCUCGACCAGUGGAGCCAAUGUCACCAGAUUAUCAGAUGAUAGAAAAUUAUACAUUGAUAGUACCAACAAAAAUACUUAGUGAUUCUGAAGAACUUGAUCGCUAUUUAAUACAGAAGCUUCCUGGCAACUGUAAUUUGACAAGUAAUGAAAAUGUAUCGAACAACGAUACAAAUACUAUGGAACAUGAUUCAGAUCCAUACAUGAAAACAGGAUUCAUAAUUGACAUCGUUCAAAAUCCAGCUUCAUCCGGACUAACAUCUGCUAUUACUACUUCAGAAUUUACGUCUCGAUUCAAUUCUUCAACUUACUUGCCGGAUUCGGCCGAUACAAAUUUAUGUCCAGAAAUGGAACGGUUUACUGUUGAACUAAAGAAAGAUAUUUACGGUCUCGGUAUAACGAUUGCUGGUUAUGUUUGUGAACAAGAAGAAUUGUCUGGAAUUUUUAUAAAAAGUAUAAGUAAAGGGAGCGCCGCAGAUCUAAGCAAUAAAGUACAAGUCAAUGAUCGGAUUAUUGAAGUUAAUAAUCAUCCUUUAAAAGGUUAUUCCAACCAUGAAGCAGUUGAAGUUUUGAAAAAUACUGGACAAAUAGUAACAUUAUGCAUGGAGCGAUACUUGAGAGGACCCAAAUAUGAACAAUUGCAGCAAGCGAUUGCAGCAAGUGAACUAAAAAAACCUCAACCUGCAUCUCCGUCGAUUAUGAGUCUACCGAGUUUUCCAAUCAGCACGGAUGGAGAUACUAUUUUAGGAACUGAUUAUGGAGAAGAAGAUGAAACAUGUACUUUUGACAAGAGUACAAUUCUUGACAACGAUAAAAAUCGUUUAUUAUUAGAGAAUAGUCCAAAUCAUUUCGUAAUAGAAGAUGUCUCUUGUGAUCCAAUGAUUAAUCUUAACCCUACAACAAAGACUACUAUCGAAAAAAAAUGGAAGGAUAUUUUAGAUGAUGACACUGAGAUAAUUAUCGCACAGUUGAAAAAAUUCUCUGAAGACGGUGGUUUAGGUAUCAGCUUAGAAGGAACCGUUGAUGUUGAAAAUGGUCAAGAAGUACGACCGCAUCAUUAUAUUCGUUCAAUACUUCCAGAAGGUCCCGUUGGAAAAGAUGGAACGUUACGUUCUGGUGACGAACUAUUAGAGGUCAACGGAAUGAAGUUACUUGGUAUAAAUCAUAAGGAUGUCGUUGCAAUCUUAAAAGAUCUUCCGAUGAACGUCAGAAUCGUUUGUGGAAGAAACAGCACAUCUCAAAUUAUUCUGUGUCCCAUCAACACAGCACAACAUCCAGCAGCGUUCCAAACAAGACUCUCCAAAACUCACAACGUGAAUAUCAGCCAAGUGGGCAGCAAUUUUCGAAAGAAUCAUACCCAAUUGAAUAUCUCACCGAGGACAAGAAACAGAUUUAUUUAGGAAGAGACAAAUGGAUAAGCACAGGAACUUAUGCUCACAUGAUGUCAAACGUGACUUUACUGUCGCAGUUGGUUAGAAAUCUGUUAUAAGAAUUUUUUACGGAGAGUAUUUUAAUAAAUAUAACUGUCAGUGGUGACAUUUCGAAUAGACCUAGAAAGAAAAUGGGCGGUGUAGUGAAUUUCACUCAAAUAACACUUUUGGAUCCAGUGAAAGUAUUAAUUAUGAAAAGUAAGCAUGCCAAUCAAAAUUGAAGACAUGUCAAUUGUAAAUAUAUUGUGAUAACGGACAUCGUGGCCUAGGUAGUAACGUGCCUGCUUGGCGCACUAUGGAUAGCGGGUUCGAUUCCCGGCCGAGACAAGACCUAUUUAAAAUAUAUAGUCUUUUCUCUGACUACGAUGAGCUAAAGGCCUUUCAGAGGGCAGUCAAAGGCGUGGACUAUCGUGCUGAUGAUUAAAUAGUACAAAAAGUGCUAUAGCCGCUACGACGCCCUUAAAAAACCAGGCGACACCCCAUUGUAUACAGCCUUACCCGACCAAAAGGCUCUGCACAAGUGGACCCCAAAAUUCCUCACACAUACUCUCUCGUUAUCUUAAGCUGAUGCUGAGAAAACCAGGAACCUCGAGGUAACCAGCGGAAUCUCCGAAGGUUGAGGAAACCAGGGGACCCAUGGGGCUUAGCAGAAUCUCCAAAAGCAAAAGUUAACGUUCUUUCGUACCACUAUAUGAAAAUCGACAGGGACUGUUCCGGGGCUCGGAAGGGAACCAAGGCAACUUGGGAACCUAGGAAACUUGCAGACCUAAGACAUAAGACGACCGCCUUCACUGUGCAAACAGACCCUGUACAAUGGCCUCGUAGCUCAGUGCAGGAAAAGGCGGAACAUUUUAAGACACCUUCUCCCAUAAAGGAAAAAAAAAAAUAUAUGUAUAUUGUGAUGAAUAAAUUUGUUGGUAUCACAAAUCCAACAAAAUGAUGGAUAUAAAUUAAUUUAAUUUUAAAUUUCUUCUUCCGUAGAUUUCGUACGACACUAUUUGAUUUCAGAAAUGGAGAAGUCUUAGUACGAAGCUGAUAGUGAGGCGUAUAACAUGCGUCAACACAUCUUCAAGAAAAUCGCAGAGUUGAAAGAAGGCGAAUAUUAGAAAGAAUGCUAAAUAGUAGCUCUUGGUCAUGAUUCCGAGAUAUCUGAGAACAUUUCACACGACCUAUCUGUACAGUCGAUGAAUGUCAUGGAUAAAUUAGUGAAAGCUAAAUC
This 6891-nucleotide unclassified non-coding RNA is filed under the name Chelonus insularis. RNAcentral's name for it is "patj homolog, transcript variant X5". Lineage: Eukaryota; Metazoa; Arthropoda; Insecta; Hymenoptera; Braconidae. The record is from RNAcentral.